UGGAGACGUGCCCCCAACCCCACCGCCAUUCACCCUGUCAUUGCAGGGGAGAGAACAGAAUAAAGACGGGUACAUUUUCCAUCUCACCUCUGAACCUCGGUUAGGAAAACGCUGUAGCCCUGACUAGUGGGCUCAAGGGCCGACUGGAAAAGGGCGAGUCAGCGUUCAAAGCCGAUUCGGGGCAGCCCUCUCUAACGCAGAGGGCCGAGGAUAAGAAGACGACAAUGUGUUAGGGGCCCUCCGGGCUAGGACUGUCCUCACCACUUUGUACAUUGCCAAAGUAAAUAUAACGUAGAGGUCAAGCGCAGGCGCUUUGUGGGCAGACAUGACUGAGCUCCACUCGCGACUCCUCUAAUGGCGUGCCAGCUGCGGACCUCAUUAGCCCCGCCUCAAUCAUUCAGUAUGUUUUGGUUGUCUACAGUGUACGAAGCCCUGUUCUCACAAUUAGAUAAAAUGAGUGUGAAGUGCUCAACAUAAUUCCUAGUGUAGUAGGCCUUCAAAGAACUAUUAUCAUUAUUAAUUACUCAUAUAGAAUACAACUUUAUGAAAUGAUAGGAUCCCAUUUUAAGAUGAGGAAAAUGAGGCUAUCAGAGACGUUAAGGAACUUAAUGUCACACAGUUAAUAAACGAUAGAGGUGCGAUUUGAACACAGGUUGUCUAAUACCAGACCUGCAUUUAUAACUGCUGCUUCCCAAGUUAUAGAUAUUUCAGCAUUUUAUGUAGUCACAAUUGAAGACCAAAUAUUUAGUUACAGACUAAGUUGGCAUGUUAUUACUGAAUAAGAUGCUAAGGUAUCUACUAAAGAUUUUAAGUGCAAAAGGCAUUAGAGAAGAAUUUACUGUGGAUUUUUUGCAGGUUCUGAUUGUAAUUGUAUCACCUUGAGAAAGGAGGAAAUGAAAGCAGAUUAUCAGGCAUACUUUUUUAACUCUAAGCAACUUUUUGCAUUACUUUCUAAGGACCAUCAGCAACAAAAAUCAAUGGUUUCUAAUGUUGAUAUAUUUUCCUCUACCAAAAAAAUUAAAGCAGCUGAGCCAACAAAAAUUCUCUGUUUUGGAUGUGUUAGCAUGAGGAAAUGGCGAAUAGGAAAUGAGCUUUUGCUUCUCAUGUAGGAACCCUGAAGGAGUCAGAUUUGGGAGGGGUUGAAGUCUGCUUCCAACAGAAGCAGGGGUGGAGAAGGGAAAGGAAAGACUUCUGGUGUCCUAAAUGCUAGUCCCAAAGUGGGGAUGCUGUUUGUCCGGAUAACCCUUGUAAAUCUGCUCCAUUCUGCAGCUACUCCUGGGAAACUUAACUCAGCCAAAUAAUGCAAACAAUUGCAUCCAUCAUCAGCCACAUCAGCCUUAGGAGAUACAUCCAUAUCAUGAGAAAACACUACCUGAAAUUGGGGACCACUGGAGGAUUAAAGAACAAGGAGAUGGCUGGCUAUUUAAGAAGGAAAGGCAGAGGCUGCAGAAAUUGAGCCUAACGGCUUAUCAGAUGGGAUGGAUAAUUCUUUAAGUUUAAAAGAACUACUCAUUUUCCCCAACAUCUGUCUUUGCCAUCUUCCUAUCUAAGGAACCUUUCACUUUUUAGCUGGGGACAUAGCUUUCUGGUAUGAGAACUACACUGCUCAAACUUCCAAUCAGCUUGUAUGCACUUGGUGAAUCUUACCUACCACAAACAGAAGUCUGGAAAGUGAAAAUUUAUUUCCUUUUCACCAUGACCAGCCUUGUUCAGAACAUCUGAGAGGCACAGACCUGAGAAAGAAUCCCCAGGCUGAAGAGGUAGAAGUUGGCAGAAGUUAAAAGCAAUGUCUCCACAAUGGAGAAGUGACAUGCUAAAGGAACCUGGCAUCUAGACAUUUCCUAACCCCCAAUCCCUCCUUACAUAUGACCUGCUCUUAGAGGAGUACAGCGUGGUGGUUAGGAGUGUGGACUCGGCAGCCAGAAAUCCUGGGAUCUGUUGCUUGUUAGCUGUGGGCCUUAAGCUAAGAACUUAACCUCUCUGUGCCUCAGUUGCUCCAUCUGUUCAAAUGAAGAUAAUGAUAAUGAAGAUGAUAUCACCUGCUGUGUAGGAUUGUUAUGAAAAAUCAAGAAUUAAUAUUUGUAAAUCACUUACAGGGUCUGGCACAUAAUAAGUGCUGUGUGGGUGUUUGUUAAAUAAAAUAAUAUACAAUGACAUAGGCAUUGUGGUUGUUCUUCCUAGUCUCCUAAAGAAGCAGUUGUUUCUGAAACCUUCCCAAACUCAAAUAUAGCUGAAGUUGCUCAAAAUAUCAUGUGAAAAUCCCUCCUCUUCACCAGCCCCUCCACUGUAGAGGCUUCUUUGUGCUCACAGAAGCCCUAUAUUUCAGUGGUCUGUUCUGGAUGUCUAAACUUCUCAUAAGAAGUGAUAUUUUAUGGGGCCCGGUGCAGUGGCUCACGCCUGUAAUCUUAGCACUUUGGGAAGCCGAGGCAGGUGGAUCAUUUGAGGUCA
RNAcentral lists this long non-coding RNA (2448 nucleotides) under Homo sapiens (human). Its description in RNAcentral is "HSALNT0380551". The record is from RNAcentral. Lineage: Eukaryota; Metazoa; Chordata; Mammalia; Primates; Hominidae.